CCUACGGGUGGCAGCAGUGGGGAAUAUUGCGCAAUGGGCGAAAGCCUGACGCAGCGACGCCGCGUGAGGGAUGAAGGUCUUCGGAUCGUAAACCUCUGUCAGCAGGGAAGAACGGUCACUGUGCUAAUCAGCCGUGAAUUGACGGUACCUGCAAAGGAAGCACCGGCUAACUCCGUGCCAGCAGCCGCGGUAAUACGGAGGGUGCGAGCGUUAAUCGGAAUUACUGGGCGUAAAGCGCUCGUAGGCGGUAUGUCAAGUCAAGGGUGAAAUCCCCGCGCUCAACGUGGGAACUGCCUUUGAAACUGGCAAGCUGGAGUGUGUGAGAGGAUGGUGGAAUUCCAGGUGUAGGAGUGAAAUCCGUAGAUAUCUGGAGGAACAUCAGUGGCGAAGGCGACCAUCUGGCACAUAACUGACGCUGAGGAGCGAAAGCGUGGGGAGCAAACAGGAUUAGAUACCCCUGUAGUC
This 465-nucleotide ribosomal RNA is filed under the name uncultured bacterium. Its description in RNAcentral is "partial 16S ribosomal RNA". It matches the Rfam family "Bacterial small subunit ribosomal RNA", at positions 338 to 795 of the family's 1533-position model. The record is from RNAcentral.